Molecule: ribosomal RNA, 2892 nt
Filed under: Stenotrophomonas maltophilia
Lineage: Bacteria; Pseudomonadati; Pseudomonadota; Gammaproteobacteria; Lysobacterales; Lysobacteraceae
Description: bacterial LSU rRNA
Rfam family: Bacterial large subunit ribosomal RNA
Source: RNAcentral
GUUAUAUGGUCAAGCGAAUAAGCGCACACGGUGGAUGCCUUGGCGGUCAGAGGCGAUGAAGGACGUGGCAGCCUGCGAAAAGUAUCGGGGAGCUGGCAACAAGCUUUGAUCCGGUAAUGUCCGAAUGGGGAAACCCACCCGCUUGCGGGUAUCCUGCAGUGAAUACAUAGCUGCUGGAAGCGAACCUGGUGAACUGAAAUAUCUAAGUAACCAGAGGAAAAGAAAUCAACCGAGAUUCCGUAAGUAGCGACGAGCGAACGCGGACUAGCCCUUAAGCUGAUUUGGUUCUAGGAAAACGCUCUGGAAAGAGUGGCCAUAGAAGGUGAUAGCCCUGUAUCUGAAAGGGCCAUUUCAGUGAAGACGAGUAGGGCGGGGCACGUGAAACCCUGUCUGAACAUGGGGGGACCAUCCUCCAAGGCUAAAUACUACUGACCGACCGAUAGUGAACCAGUACCGUGAGGGAAAGGCGAAAAGAACCCCGGAGAGGGGAGUGAAAUAGAACCUGAAACCGUGUGCGUACAAGCAGUAGGAGCUCCGCAAGGAGUGACUGCGUACCUUUUGUAUAAUGGGUCAGCGACUUACUGUUCGUGGCAAGCUUAACCGUAUAGGGGAGGCGAAGGGAAACCGAGUCUGAUAAGGGCGCAUAGUCGCGGGCAGUAGACCCGAAACCGGGUGAUCUAGUCAUGCCCAGGGUGAAGGUGCGGUAACACGCACUGGAGGCCCGAACCCACUCCCGUUGCAAAGGUAGGGGAUGAGGUGUGAUUAGGAGUGAAAAGCUAAUCGAACCCGGAGAUAGCUGGUUCUCCUCGAAAGCUAUUUAGGUAGCGCCUCAUAUGUAUCCUCUCGGGGGUAGAGCACUGUUAUGGCUAGGGGGUCAUCGCGACUUACCAAACCAUUGCAAACUCCGAAUACCGAGACGGACUGUAUGGGAGACACACGGCGGGUGCUAACGUCCGUCGUGAAAAGGGAAACAACCCAGACCCACAGCUAAGGUCCCAAAUUUUGUGCUAAGUGGAAAACCAUGUGGAAAGGCACAGACAGCCAGGAGGUUGGCUUAGAAGCAGCCACCCUUUAAAGAAAGCGUAAUAGCUCACUGGUCGAGUCGGUCUGCGGGGAAGAUUUAACGGGGCUAAGCACAGAACCGAAGCUUGGGGUGCAUACUUUGUAUGCGCGGUAGAGGAGCGUUCCGUAAGCCGUUGAAGGUGGAUUGAGAAGUCUGCUGGAGGUAUCGGAAGUGCGAAUGCUGACAUGAGUAACGAUAAUGCGGGUGAAAAACCCGCACGCCGAAAGCCCAAGGUUUCCUUGCGCAACGUUAAUCGGCGCAGGGUGAGUCGGCCCCUAAGGCGAGGACGAAAGUCGUAGUCGAUGGGAAGCAGGUUAAUAUUCCUGCACCUCGCGUAAGUGCGAUGGAGGGACGGAGAAGGUUAGGUGUACCAGGCGUUGGUUGUCCUGGGGAAAGGCGGUAGGUUUGGAUCUUUGGCAAAUCCGGGAUCCUUCAAGACCGAGCACCGAGACGAGCCUUUAAGGCGAAGUCACUGAUACCACGCUUCCAGGAAAAGCUCCUAAGCUUCAGCUUACGCAGACCGUACCGUAAACCGACACAGGUGGGUAGGAUGAGAAUUCUCAGGCGCUUGAGAGAACUCGGGUGAAGGAACUAGGCAACAUGGCACCGUAACUUCGGGAGAAGGUGCACCCUUUUUGGUGGCUCGUGCGAGCUAUAGCUGAAGAGGGUCGCAGUAACCAGGCCGCUGCGACUGUUUAUCAAAAACACAGCACUCUGCAAACACGAAAGUGGACGUAUAGGGUGUGACGCCUGCCCGGUGCUGGAAGGUUAAUUGAUGGGGUCAGCCGCAAGGCGAAGCUCUUGAUCGAAGCCCCAGUAAACGGCGGCCGUAACUAUAACGGUCCUAAGGUAGCGAAAUUCCUUGUCGGGUAAGUUCCGACCUGCACGAAUGGCGUAACGACAGCGGCGCUGUCUCCACCCGAGACUCAGUGAAAUUGAAAUCGCUGUGAAGAUGCAGCGUUCCCGUGGCAAGACGGAAAGACCCCGUGAACCUUUACUAUAGCUUUACACUGAACGUUGAGUUCGUCUGUGUAGGAUAGGUGGGAGGCUAUGAAACCAUGGCGCUAGCUGUGGUGGAGCCAUCCUUGAAAUACCACCCUGUCGUGCUUGACGUUCUAACCUAGGCCCAUUAUCUGGGUCGGGGACCGUGUAUGGUGGGUAGUUUGACUGGGGCGGUCUCCUCCUAAAGAGUAACGGAGGAGCUCGAAGGUACGCUCAGCGCGGUCGGACAUCGCGCACUGUGUGCAAAGGCAUAAGCGUGCUUGACUGCAAGAUCGACGGAUCAAGCAGGUAGGAAACUAGGACUUAGUGAUCCGGUGGUUCUGUAUGGAAGGGCCAUCGCUCAACGGAUAAAAGGUACUCCGGGGAUAACAGGCUGAUACCGCCCAAGAGUUCAUAUCGACGGCGGUGUUUGGCACCUCGAUGUCGGCUCAUCACAUCCUGGGGCUGUAGUCGGUCCCAAGGGUAUGGCUGUUCGCCAUUUAAAGUGGUACGCGAGCUGGGUUCAGAACGUCGUGAGACAGUUCGGUCCCUAUCUGCCAUGGGCGUUGGAGAUUUGAGAGGGGCUGCUCCUAGUACGAGAGGACCGGAGUGGACGAACCUCUGGUGUUCCGGUUGUCACGCCAGUGGCAUUGCCGGGUAGCUAUGUUCGGAAGCGAUAACCGCUGAAAGCAUCUAAGCGGGAAGCGCGCCUCAAGAUGAGAUCUCCCGGGGCACAAGCCCCCUGAAGGAACCAUGUAGACUACGUGGUUGAUAGGUCAGGUGUGUAAGUACAGCAAUGUAUUGAGCUAACUGAUACUAAUGAUCCGUGCGGCUUGACCAUAUAACCU